GGCCUCCCAAAGUGCUGGGAUUACAGGCUUGAGCCACCGCGCCCGGCCAAGGUUGUAUUUUACAACGAAUUGAUCACAACCAGUUACAGAUUUCUUUGUUCCUUCCUCACUCCCACUGCUUCAUUUGACUAGCCUAAA
This 138-nucleotide non-coding RNA is filed under the name Rhinopithecus roxellana (golden snub-nosed monkey). Lineage: Eukaryota; Metazoa; Chordata; Mammalia; Primates; Cercopithecidae. The record is from RNAcentral.